GAGUUUGAUCCUGGCUCAAAAUGAACGCUGGCGGCAGGCCUAACACAUGCAAGGCGAACGGAAACGACAAGAACAAACUCUUCGGAGGGCGAUCUUGGGCGUCGAGUGGCGGACGGGUGAGUAACGCGUGGGAAUCUACCCUUUAGUUGGGGACAACAUAUGGAAACGUAUGCUAAUACCAAAUAUGCUCUACGGAGUAAAGGUGGCCUCUACUUGUAAGCUAUCGCUAAAGGAUGAGCCCGCGUUAGAUUAGCUAGUUGGUGGGGUAAAGGCCUACCAAGGCGACGAUCUAUAGCUGGUUUGAGAGGAUGAUCAGCCACACUGGGACUGAGACACGGCCCAGACUCCUACGGGAGGCAGCAGUGGGGAAUAUUGCACAAUGAGGGAAACCUUGAUGCAGCCAUGCCGCGUGUGUGAAGAAGGCCCGAGGGUUGUAAAGCACUUUCAAUUGUGAGGAAAGGUUAGUCGCUAAUAUCGGCUAGCUGUGACGUUAACUUUAGAAGAAGCCCCGGUUAACUCUGUGCCAGCAGCCGCGGUAAUACAGAGGGUGCAAGCGUUAUUCGGAAUUACUGGGCGUAAAGCGCGCGUAGGCGGACUGUUAAGUCGGUUGUGAAAGCCCUGGGCUCAACCUAGGAAUUGCAUCCGAUCCUGGCAAUCUAGAGUUUAGGAGAGGGAAGUGGAAUUCCUGGUGUACCAGUGAAAUGCGCAGAUAUCAGUAGGAUCCUCAGUGGCAAAGGCGGCAUCCUGGCCUAAACCCAGCGGUUACGUGGGAAAGUGUGGGUAACGGACGGAAUUAUAUUUCUUGGUAGUCAAA
Molecule: ribosomal RNA, 814 nt
Filed under: uncultured bacterium
Lineage: Bacteria
Description: bacterial SSU rRNA
Rfam family: Bacterial small subunit ribosomal RNA
Source: RNAcentral